This 35818-nucleotide non-coding RNA is filed under the name Cordylochernes scorpioides. Lineage: Eukaryota; Metazoa; Arthropoda; Arachnida; Pseudoscorpiones; Chernetidae. The record is from RNAcentral.
GAUUCAGAGUGCAAAGUGGAAAACCAGGAAGCCAAAUUUAUAACAUUGUCAUAUAUAAACCAAAGGUUGCAAAAAUUUCACCAAUAUAUUCAAAAAAUAUAAAUAUUGCAUGGGAACAUGUAACACUGAGAACUUUGAGUGUUGUAGCGCAAGAGAAUAUUUACACUUUUAUAAUACUUUUAUUUCAACACCACAUCAAACCUCUUUCUGAAGUUGCAGAGCCAAUGUUGAGACACCAAUACAAGUGGCAAUUUGGGCCUUUGUAGACAAAUGUUGGUUUUACCUACACUCUAUUGUUACCUUUGGUAUUUAACUCACCCCAACUAGAAAGCUGUUCAGUGAAACAAAUUCUGUGGUUCCAGACUUCCUUCAAUGGUGAAGGAUGCAUAAAUUUGCCAGGCCUGGACAACUGGCAGAUUCCACCCAGAUGUGGGAGCUAGAGCAUCAGCAAGGAAGUCUGAUGGCAAGUCUCUUUUUAUUGCUCUCAUUUCUAACCUUUUAUUAUCACAAUGUCAUGUGUAUAACCAUUUGUCUUCUUUCUUAUCUCAUAACCAUUUGUCUUCUUUCUUAUCUCAUAACCAUUUGUUAUAAUGUCUAGUGGGAAUUUCUUAAGAGAGUCCCAAUUUAUAAACUGAAAUGUGUCUAGGGUGGAAAGGGGACAUUUUUUCCAGAUUCUUAUCUUUGUUGAUAGCAAUUCCACUGCCAGACAGUCCAGUUUCAUGUUGGCUACCGUCAGUGUAAAUUGUGAUGUCGAAGAGGGAGCUAUUUUCCUCAAUGAUUUGGAGGCCAAGAGCUUUAAGUAAUUCUGGCCGAGUUUCAUGUUUGUGGGGAUUGGCUGGUAGAUGAGGGUAACAGAUGUGUUUGUUGUGAGUUCUGUGUGGGGAAUAGGAAGUUAUGUGUUUGGGAUUAAUUGGAAUGUCUAAGAGAUGCGAGCCAUGUUGAGAGGAGUUGGGUGUUUUAGUCUUUGAUUUGGGACCCAAUUUCUAAAAAUUUUCCUAUAAGAUGUUCUUCUGGAGAGUUAAUCUUUUUGGUUAUGAAUUUUGAAAAGCAGAUUUUUCUCCUUAGGUGUAGGGAAAGAAGGUUGUAUUUGAGUUCAGCAUUGCGAUUUGGGCAAGAUCCUUGAAGCCCCCUGAUGAUUUGAGCUGCGCUUGGAUUCUGGAUAUAUUGGUUUUACUUGCAUUGAUCCAGGCUGGUGUAGCAUAUUCCAAAAUAGGUCUUACGAGUGCACGGUACAUUGUGCGUAAGAUAUUGGCAUUUGCACCCCAGUUAAGCCUGAUAUUUUAUUCAGGAUUCUGAGUCGGCUUUGUUUUAUCAUGGUGUCAAUGUUUUUUAAAAGUCAGAGCAGGGUCAAGUGUGACACCAAGAUAUCUUGGGGAAUCUGAAUAUUGGAUUAUUGAGUUGUUCAAUGAAAUAUUUGGGGUCCACUGGCGAAAGUGGUUGUUGAUGGUGAAGAGGCCAAUUUCAGAUUUGCUGAUGUUAAUUAAUAAUUUCAGUUUCUCUGUUAUCUUUUGCAGAUUUUUCAUGGCUUUAUUCAGAGAGUGUUCUGCAUCAGAGAGGUUGUUUUUGGAGACCCAGAUGAUUCUGUGUAAAGGGCAAAUAAGAUGAUAAUUGAAACUGCUGAUAAUUGGGAUAUAUGAUAAUUGGGACACCAGAUAAUUAGGACUAAUUAUGUCUUCUUCUGUCACUCAAUCAUGAUUAUAUUUGUGACUCCUGAUAUUUGAGACUGCAGAAAUGAUCCCUAAUAUUGUGAAACAUUCCUUUAUACUGGAUUCCAACAAUCAUUGCCAGGACCUGUUUGUUGCAGCACUACUAUGGAGCCUUCACAUGGAACUCCUGCCAAGGAAACAAGACUGCUACCAAUGUCCCCUCCUACACCUUCACUUAUCCCUGAGAGGGUUUUGAAGGUCAGAUCCAAUCUAUGGUAUAUUGCACCAAUAAUUGCAGCAAGCAGCCAAUAGAGUUCUUAUGCAGUAGCUUCCUACUGAGUGAUUAUUUAUUAUGAGUGACAAGAAGCACUGUCAAUAUUCUCACCGCCAGGCCACAGCCUAAUAUGACAUUCCAGCAACUUGUUACACUGAGCCUCACACACCAUUUUUACACUUGGCUCAUAUUUUAUUACAUACUAAACAGGUGACCCGGGCUUCGCCCCGGGAUUGACCUGUGUGCAUAUCUACUCGAGUGAUAUAUAUUUAGAUAAGAUUUUUUUAAAUAAUUGUUUGUUAUUAGCAUUAUCUAUUUGUUUGCAUCAGCAUAAUUUAAUCUAAUCUUUGAUAGAGGGCGCUGUUCGUGAGCUAAGUAGAAUAAUUUGAAUAUAUAGUAUUUUAUAAUUGAUUUAUAUAUUUUUUAAAAUAGCCUAUCAUCUUCCCCGUAUUUUUUUUACCUAUAUAUGGAAAUUUUGGUUUGAAUUAGUGAACUACUGCAAAUUUGUAUACCGGACAUACAAACAUACAAACAUUGAUUUCUAUAUAUAUAGAUGUACACCCCUCUUUAUUAUUUUUUUAAUUUUCAGAACUUAUUUGACAAAAAAAAAGAUACUCACACAAGCACUCUAUGGUAUAUUGCACCAAUAAUUGCAUCAAGCAGCCAAUAGAGUUCCUAUGCAAAGAUUUCCCAGUAUUUAAUCAAUCCUGAAUGCCAUCAGGGGUUGUUCCACCAUCUAAUAACAAUAGUCCAUCAUUGAGGUUGGGUUGGUUGGUCCUCUGGUAGGUCAAGCUGACAUGAGUGUAAUGUGAGGAUUAUUACAAGUUCUCUUUCAUUGGACGUCAGGAAGUUUCUCUGCUAUGUCCACAAAAGGUAACUUGCCCCGUUGAUCUAGCAGAUGUCUUUGAUUAUUGGAGCUCUUUGACAGGCCCAAACCACCAAUAGGAUUCCCUAGAUAAAACUUGUAGGAAUGUAUUUAACUAUGUGUGCACACACAUAUUGUGAAAAUAUACAAGAAUGGAACAUAGCACUUGUUGAGGUCCAGAAAGAAGGUGGUGUUAAGGGGGUCUACAUAUUAGUAGAAAAACCAGGUAGCUCUCAUUAAAUCCAGAAGGAGAAAGGACAGGGCAUAUUUUGUCCAUUAUUUAUAAGCCAAUAUAGAGCAGUAAAACUAUCUUUGACCUAUCAGAACAUGUAAGAACUAUAAUAUAUAUUACCUGUGCUAUACACACCUUCUCAUAGUAAUAUUUCAACCAAAUUGUGGACAACCUCCAGGUGAGGCUGGGUUAGGCCUUACAUGGGUGGAGACUUGUGCAUUGUUUAAAAAUCAAAUGUUCCAUCAAGUAAUGUUCCCCUAUUUCUUUGACACCUGAAGUGUUAUUAUGGAGACAUAUCCGUAAGUUGUACAUCUUUAAUUCCUGUAAAUCAUUUCUUGAAAUCUCUCUUUUCCAGAAUCAUACCUGCACAAUAUGAUGUUCAAUAUCGUCCAUUAUCAUGUGUGCACAGUGUGUGUAUAGUCUUUUAUCACAUGUUUUAUCAGAUUUUGAAAUAUGCUCCAGAUUGAUUUUAAGGACAUUGGUUAAUGCUGAGGUGAGCUUCUUAACCUUCUCUGAGACUGUUUUUGAAAAAUUCAUUAAGCGCACUAUAUAGAAUACUAGGGAUGUGUGUAGUAGUUUUUGCCAUGCCUCAUAGCAGCCUGGGAAUGCCUUUGCCAAUAAAUUAUCAUCUUCUGUUGGGUUGUGUCUCUCCUAUUGAUAAAGGCAUCAACCGUUGCUCUUUUCAGCGCUGUGUUGAACUUCCAAUCGGUCAAUAAGCAGCUUGCACCGCCUAUCCCUCUCUGCUGUUCUCGGUGGCCUUGAUGACCGGGCAGGAAAGUGAAUCAGUGGAGGUACAGGUGGGCAAGGAGAGGAUGGAUGUGUGUUUUGUUUGAGUAGGUGUGUGAGAAGAUUUGUGGAGUGAUUGGCCUCGAUGAGGCGUUGUUGGUACGUGUGUGACAGGUGUGAAAAAGUUUUAUUCAGGGUUUCGUUAAAUCUAUUGGUUUGGCACUGUGUUUGUCACCACACCUGUGACAUUUAGCCACAGUUUUGUUGUCACAGGCCUUAGAAAGAUGCGCACCAGCGCAGUGGCUACAUUUAGCCGCCCUAGUGCACUUUCCAUUGUUGUGGGUCCUGUGACUCAAGCUGCCACAGACACCACAUGGGAAUAUGCGCUUUGCUCUAGCGAGUCUCAGUGAUAGGAAGUCAAUUGUGAUCCUACCACGCUCGAGCAAGGCAGUCUCUACUUCCUUAUUUACUUCUACUAUCGCAGUGGAGGGGGCACCCUCUUUCUUAAUCAGUUCCACCAUCCUGAUGUUUUCGCCACUUUUCAGCAGCUUUUCGACAACGGGAUGGCUACUAAUAUCAGCCACAAGCUGCUCCUCAGUUUUCUCUCCAGGAAUAACGAAGAUAGUAAGCCUGGGCUUGAAUGUGGGGUUUGUCUGGACUUUAAGUCCACCAAUGUUGGCGGACUUAACGUUGUCCACAAGCCUCUUUUUUUCAGAGGGGUUGGCGAAGUGGAGGACAAGUUUUUUUUAUCCCUCCCUGUCACCGCGGCUACAUCACAAUUUUUUAAACUGGGAGUUUGGGCGAUUUUUGCCCUAAUCUCACUAACAGUGAGGUCCUUGGAAGCGAGCUUCACGUGGUUGGUGCUGUUACGCAGCAUAUGCUCGUAACUGGGUUUAGUUGGUUUAGCAGGCUUAGCACCUGCAUUGGUUGGCUGGGUGACUUUAUUCGUCACAGGGGCUGGUUUGGGAGGAGGUGUUGGAGCUACUUUUUUAAUAGAGGCUGCGUGCGCAGCCCUGAUUUCUUCUACUCUGAGGUCACAGCCCUUCAGCUUGCGCUGAAGAAUACCUACAACGGUAUUUUGCAGCUGGCGAGCAGCAUAUCAAUUGUUCCGUACAAUUUUUUAUUGGCUGCAGAGUCCUGUUCCCCGCUAAGCCCUACUCCAAUUUCAUGCUGCAAGAUUUCCCUGUAGCUUGAAAAGGAUGUUUCUAUCUCUUCCCACCCCUCCCUAAAAGCUGUGUUAGAGUUUGAAGGUUUGAUAGGAGGAGGAAGAGAAGGAGUGACCCAGGGACACUCACCAUUUUGGAGAGUUGGGGCAGAAGAAGAAGCGGAGGUAUCCGCCGCGUUCAUAGUUGAGAAUAUCCAAGAUUAAUCCAAGAGUGUAGGGGUGCACUGUUAGGUGGCCCGGGACUUGAAUGAUGAUUCACGCUCGUUGGCGUGUCUAUUAUUAUUAUGCCUUCUACAUGCUUUCGGAGACACGCUCGUUGGUGUGGAAGAGUUAAAUGGCCGAGUGCGGCCGCUCUGGAGAUCCCGCAUUUUGAUUGGCUGCGGGCGGAAAAAAUCCGGGGAGGAUAAAUGGCGUUUGGCGGCCGUCCAAGAGAUCCGGGGAAUUAAAUAAUUUUUAUCCUCGUCUGGUUUCUUGGUGAAUUGGGGCUGGGCGUCCAAGGAUGUAUCCUUGCAGGACCGCUGGCGCUGGGGAACAGGAGCACAGGAGACCAGGGGCACUAUAGAGAAAUUCCUAUUUAGCUUCGGCAUAGGUGGGCAGGGAGAGGAUGUUUGCAAUUUUUGUUCAAGGAGAUGAGUGAGGAGGUUUGUGGAGUUGUUGGCCUCGAGGAGGCGUUGUUGGUGUAUUUUCGAGAUGUGUGCAAAAGUUUUUUUUAGAGCAAAGCGGAAACCAUCAGCAAGGGUGGGGUCAACAGAGUCAGCAUAAGGGGCAAGGAUGUGAUAGGCCCAGUUUAGAUGUAGGAGGUGUGAGGGGUUGUUGGUUGGGAACAUGUCACAUGUGGGUGGAGGUGAGUCAAGGGUGUAGUGUUGUUGAGGUGGUUGGCGUAGGUGGAGUGGUGUGUGUACAUGUGUGGAUGAGGUAGGGUGAAGAGGGGUGGAGGAGCUCACCCCUGGUCGACUGCCAAGGUCCAGAUUCCCGCCGAUGGUAGGGUCGAGCAGGGAGUAAUCCAAGAGAGUAGGUGUGCACUGUUCGGUGGCCAGGAACGUGAAUGAUGAUUCACACUCGUUGGCGUGGAAGUGUUAAAUGGCCGAGUGUGUCGAGGCUGCGGUUUGGAGUUUGGUUUUUGUGAGCUCCAGAGGGAGGAGACAGCGUUGACAUCUCCUGCGAAGAGAAGGCGGGGAGGGUGUGGGGAGCCAAAGAGGGAGAUAAAGGAGUCGACGAUGGGGGAGUAAGAAGUGUGGUGGGGGAAGUAUACGGAGCAGAGAGUAAGGUGAAAGCCGGGGAUGUCAAGGAUUGCGAGGGUGCGGUUGGUGGUGGAGAGUUGUGGGAGGAAAAUGACGGGAAGGCUUUGAUUAAGAACAAUUAUACAGGAGUUACACCGGUUGUUAGAGAUGGGAGCAUGGAGGAGGGGGUGGGAAAUGGGGAGGGAAGGGCAUUGUCACGGACCGGAAGUUCUUGAAGGAGAAGGAUAUCUAUAUGGGAGAACUGGGCAAAUUGUAGUAAGGAGAGGUAGCAAGGGAGGGAUCGGUUGCAGUUAAGCUGUAAGAACUUAAGCAUUUAGGGCAGGUUGUGGGUGCUAAGGAAUGUGGUUUCAGCGGCUUUGAUGACCGGGCAGGAGAGAGAGUCCGCCCGGUGUUGGCCGGGGAGGGUGGUGGCGGUGCAGUUGUUAGUGAUGUGGCCUUCGCCGCAAUGGAGGCAUCUGGGGGGCUUACUGCAAAUAUCAUUGCGGUGACGGAUGUCACCGGUUACGGCAAGGGUGGGUUGAUCUGGUUCUGUCGAACCUGAUUGAGUUAUAUCCCAAAAAGAGACGGGUUCAAGAUUGCAGUUGGGUGGCAGUGUCAGAGUCGGUUUCGAUGACCGCGUGUGUGGAGUUGUUGCGGCCGGUAAAAGUUCUAAUGAGUUUACAGUCAGUGCCUAUUGAUUGGGUGAGAAGGGAGGGCAGGUCGCUGAGUGGGAUAGUGUUGGGGAGGUUGAAGAGGGAAAAGCGGGGUUUAAAGGUGGGGGGGAGGUUGACGCUGAUGUUUGUGCCGUUGGUGGCAUUUUUGAGCUUGGCGUAGAUAGAGUCCAUGCUAUUUUUGGAGUUAAUGUGUAUGAUGAUCUUGUUACUGGCACGGAAGAUGUUAGUAAUUUGGGUGGAGGGAGUAUUGAGGGAGGAGAAGAAAAUUUUUGAGUUGAGGUUGUUGUCAAUGGGCGUGCAAGCAGAGGGGUCCUGGGUGAUGAGGAUCUGGAAGGGGUUGUUGCGGUUGGAAUGGGGAGGGGGGCGGCGGGAAGGGCGGAGUGCCCCCGGAGCUGAAGAGGUGGGGGUAGCCCCCAGGGGGGGGGCCUUGGGAAGAGGGCGCAGGCCGGAGCGGACCAAAAAAUGUUAGGUAGCGGAACGAGAAUACUAGAAAGGUCCGCCACCUUCUGAUAACAAUUUAAAGUGUCCUGUCCAAGUGCUGGAAAAAUGGGAGAUAAACUCCGUAGAACUAUUUAUUUCAAAGAAGGAAGGUUAACAAUUAAAAGAGUUAAAGCUAAAGGAACCAAAACAAGGACAGCGGCAAUCCCAGCUGCUUUCUCGAAGCGCGCAAAGCUCCGUCUUCCUGUGGACUCUCCUUCUUUAGAACUCUUUAUCUUUAGGCUUCUAGAACCUCUAUAUCUUUAGGCUUCUUGAACCUCUAUCUUUAGGCUUCUAGAACCUCUUUAUCUUUAGGCUUCUAGAACCUCUAUAUCUUUAGCAAGGCAGUCUCGACUUCCUUAUUUGCUUCUACUAUCGCAGUGGAGGGGGCACCCUCUUUCUUAAUCAGUUUCACCAUCCUGAUGUUUUCGCCACUUUUCAGCGACAAGUUUUUUUAUCCCUCCCUGUCACCGCGGCUACAUCACAAUUUUUUAAACUGGUAGUUUGGGCGAUUUUUGCCCUAAUCUCACUAAUAGUGAGGUCCGCGGAAGCGAGCUUCACGUGGUUGGUGCUGUUACGCAGCAUAUGCGCGUAACUGGGCUUAGUUGGUUUAGCAGGCUUAGCACCUGCAUUGGUUGGCUGGGUGACUGGGCUGACUCACCAGGUCGAAGGAUACAUCCUUUGGGGCUGAGGGGAGAGUGUAGGGAAAAAACCAAGAGAUAGACAGCGGUUAAAGAGAAAUAGGAAGAAGGAGGGAAAGGAAGAAAGAAGCCACUUAGCAAACUGUCCAGGUAACUGGUCAGGGCCAAAUGCCUUCCUGGGAUUAAGGUUGUUAAUUGCCCUAGAGUACUCAAAAGGAGUAAUAGGUGGGUCAUGAGGAGAAGAAUGAGAGGAGGAGCUAGUGUUUAGAGCAAAGUGAAAGGGCCUAGUGUCAGGAGGGGGGGUCAGUGAAGAAAGAGUCUAACAUAUCCUGAAGACAGGCAGGGAUGUUAUGGUGAAUUAAUAUAUUCUCAAACCGUCGGGAGCAAAGAGGGUCAGGUUUAGCCGAGCCAUGGGAGAUAUAGCGAUAGAUUGGACCCCAAGGAUUAAGCUCAAAAGUAUUGCAAUUUCCUAAAAUAAAUAGUCUUAGCCCUGUCAAUAGCCUUGUUGAAGCGGUUACGCACCUCCACAUAACGUUUGUCGCAUACCUCGAGAUAUUUGCAUAGUAUUGUUUUGUUUUGUAUAUUUUUACAUUUUGUUUCUUUUGAAAGGAUGAUAGAUUUGCAUGUCCACGAGAAGCGCGUUGUAUAUAUAUAGGUAGGAAAAGUAAUAAAGUUAGAGUUUCUUUUGCUUAGGAGCUUCUCUUGUUCUGUGGAACUCGUUCUUUUAAGUAGAACACCACAACAUGGCGCAGCCGGCAGGAUCAUCAAAUUCGACCAUUGAAAGCCUCAUCAGGAUGAUGGCGAAGCAGCAACGCUUAAUGAUGGACUUGCUUUUUGAAAAUAAAAAUGAAAUGGUAGAUGAAGAGGAAUAUUUCAAAGAUGAAGAAGAAGAUGAUGAAGAAGAAGAAGAAGAGAAGGAAGAAGAAGAAGAUGAAGAAGAAGAAGGAGAGGAGGAAGAAGAAGAAGAGGAAGAAGAAGAAGAUGAAGAAGAAGAACAUUGUACUGAUUCAAAAGUUGAAAAAAUUCAGUUGUAGAAACGGAAGAAAGUGAAAUAGCCGAAGUUGAGAAAAAAUCCGUUGAAGCAGAUGAAAGCAGAAGCAUAAUGAGAUUUGAUGAGCUCUUCUGGGGUAGAAAGUUAGUCCCUGUUGGAAAAGGCACAUGGCCAAAAUGUUUUUUGAGGGAUGUUACUGAUAAUGGCGGAUCUUCUGUUUAUAGAAUUGAACAGAUUUCUGAAUAUAGGACUCCAAAUAUUGAUCAUAGAAAAAAUUGGUCUUAUAUUAAAAAGGAAAUAAAUAUUUUUGAUGCUUUAAGAACCUUACAAGGUAGUACUCAAGCUAAUCUUUGUUAUCCUAAAGAUUUUUGGAUUGUUCGUGAUUUGGGAUCUAAAUGUUUUUCAAAUAUUACUGAAGAUAGUGAAAAGAAUAAUAAUUUAGAUUUGAAUGAUAUGAAUUUAUCUCAUUUUGUCGUUUUUCAUUCUGAAUAUGGAGGGAAAUCUCUAAAGAAAGUAUUGGAAAAUGGAAAACUUUCGCCAGAACAAUUUAUGAGCAUUCUUUGUCAGAUUUGUAUUUUGAUGAGUCAUGCUGAGCAAAACAUCGGGUUGGUUCACAAUGAUAUAAGUCCCAGAAAUAUUCUGAUACGACCGACUGCUCAAAAGGUUUUGAACUACGACAUUGGAGGAGAGAAUUAUGAAAUUCCAACCAACAACUGCAUUGCCAAGUUGAAAGAUUUUGAGAUAUCUCGACUUGUAAAGAAUGAUAAUCCUAAUCCGAGUGUUUUUUACGAGAAUGUUUCUCAGCUAAUUUGGACCCAUAAUGAAAUGCGAGAAUUUGGCUCUGCUUAUGAAAUACAUACUGAAUUCAUUGAAGAGACAUCAACGCAGAUUGCCGUUGAAGAAAGUCAAAAAUCUCAUUCAGAAACUGAAGCCUUAGAUAAGUUGGGAGUCCCAUAUUUCUGGCUAGUUGUCUUGAAGAAAGCUCCUCAGGCCAGCAAGUACAUCCAACCCUAUGACGAGCCUGUUCUGGCAUAUCUUAAAGACAUUCGUGUCGAGAGCUAUGAAGGUUCAAUGGGAUUUUCAAUCCAUUUUGACUUCAAUUCCAACCCGAAUCUAGAGAACGAGACAUUGACCAAAUCGUACAAGAUGAGAUGCCUUGUCAAAGGUGGUGUGAGGGUAGGGCCAGAAAUCACUGAUGUAACCUCGACCCCCAUCAACUGGAAGCAGGAUAUAACCAUCACCAAGUGGCCGGAGGACAAUUUCAUCAUAGACCACCCGGAGUCCCAUCACAGGAGUGAUGAGAGGUCAUGGAGGGGGGGAGUCUGUCGCAUACCUCGAGGUAUUUGCAUAGUAUUGUUUUGUUUUGUAUAUUUUUACAUUUUGUUUCUUUUGAAAGGAUGAUAGAUUUGCAUGUCCGUGAGAAGCGCGAUGUAUAUAUAGGUAGGAAAAGUAAUAAAGUUAGAGUUUCUUUUGCUUAGGAGCUUCUCUUGUUCUGUGGAACUCGUUCUUUUAAGUAGAACACCACAACGUUCUCUCAAGCGGUCACGAAGUGGAGGAAAGAAGUUCUUGUAUUCCCUUCCCAGUCUCCUGGAGAGGGUUUUAAGGGACUGUAGUUUAGGAGACCACCAGGGAUUGGGUGGGGGGAAAGCAGGAAGUGGUCCCUUGGGGGAAAGGUUGGCAGAACAACACAUGUGUAAAAGUUCGUAAAAAGUGCCAACAAAGCACUCGAUGGAAGCGGCAGAGUCACAAUUGUUCAGAGCCACCUGCAGGGCACCUUCAGGAGAAAGGAGAGAUUGAAGAGAUAAGAAAAGCCUAGAAGGUGGGGCAGAUUUAAGAUUAAAAGAGGAAAAGUCAGGAAAGAGAGAAGGAGAAGAAAGAGGAGAAGCGUCAAGAUCCGGGGUGGAAACAGAGAAUGAGAUCUCAAAGUGAUCUGAGAGAUCCCACUCAACCGCAUCCCACCCGGACACAGAAGAAAGGAGACUGGAGGUGAUGCAGGUGACAUCUAUGGAAGAGGAUGAAGAUCCUUGUGCACGGGUAAUGGCUCCAUGACGGUUACACACCGCCAGGUUUAGGGAGUCCAACAUGAAGUUGAGGUGCGUACCUUUGGCACGGUGGCGGUUACUCCAGCGGUUGGACUCUGCAUUAAAAUCUCCAGCAAAAAGGAGAUUUGGUGGAGGAGGAGAGCCAAAUAAAUUAGUAAAAGAUUCAGCUGUCCUCGAAGCAUUAGCUCGGCAAGGAAUGUAAACCGAACAGAUGGUGAAGUGGAAGUUCGGUAUGUCAACAACCGCCAGAACACGGUUCACAGUAGAAAGUUUAGGAAGAAGUAGAACCGGUAGUACUUGGUUCAGCACCACAAUAGCAGCACUGCAUUUGUUGUUUGAAAUGGGGGCAUGCAAGAUAGAGGAAGGUGGAAUAGGGUGGGCAGACGGAAGUCGGUUGUUUGAAACAGGAAGUUCUUGCAGCAGUAGGAUAUCUACGGCUUUAGAAGAAGCUUCCUGGAGAAUGGAAUGGAAACAUGCAAAUGAACGAUUGCAAUUUAAUUGCAAAAAAGAGAUUAGCAUGUGUGUUGAACCAAGUUAUGGAAACUCUCCUCCACCAUUCUUAUGACCGGACAGGCAAAUGAGUCUGCCCUGUGACCGUUCUGAUCCGGCUUGCAGCGGAAACAACUGGGGCUAGUACCAGUUGUGGGACAGUCCGCAAUCUUGUGGGCAAGCCCACAAUGAAGGCAACGCACCGGGCCAGAACAAGAAUUGGUCCGGUGCCUGAGACUACCACAGGACCUGCAGGGGAAGGUAGCCCGAGUCCUGUCAAUGGACAGAGAAGAGAAUCCAAAAUAGAUUCUCUUUUUGCCCUCCAGAGCAGUGGCAAUGAUGUUGUUGGUCUCAAACACCGCAUGGACCCGACCGUUCCGCGCUGAGAUAGUUCGGAUGAGUCGGCAGUCAGUAUCCUGACAUUCGACCGACCGGACAAACAUGGUGGUAAGAUCCUCCUCAUUGGUAAUGUCAGGUACAUUAAAGAUGGUGAAGCGAUGGUGGAAAGAGGGAGGUGUAGAUAUUUUGAUAUUUGUAUUUUUGGUAAGGUCCACCAGUUUACGGUGCAGUUUAGUAAAAUCCUCUUUUGACCUAGUGUGUAUGGUAAUUUUAUCUCUGGAAGUAUUUAUAUGGGACCCAGGAGCCCCCAAAGCGGAGAAAGAAGACAUAUUAGAAAGCCUAAGGCUAAGAGGCUGAGCCUCCUUGGGGUCCUGUGUGAUAGUAAAGUGAAACGGGUUAUUGGUCAAAGUAAACCUAGGAGUGGUCUUUGGUUGGGUGGGGACAGGUCCCCGACUAGCCGAGGGGGCUGAGCUAGCAGGUUGCACAGAAGGACGGCUUGAGGCCAUGGCAGAGUACGAAAGGGGAGCGGCAGUAGCGGAAGUGUCAACAGGGGUGGCAAGUGUACUUAUGGCAGAGAUACCAGGCUCAGCAAGAGUGGCUGAGGUGGCAUCAACAACAACAUGUGGGUGGGCAAAAUGCUGCUGUUUUGAUUGGGAAGCCAUCUGUAAUAAGAGUCCAGAGGAAAAAUCCAAUUCAGAGAUACGACGUUCAUAGUCGGCCCUAAGAUGUAAAAGAAUGCCCUUAAGUUCAGAAAGAACUGAGGAACCAAGUUCAGCAGAAAAUUCAGAAAUGGAAUUAGAGAUAGUCUUAAUUGAGAUGGCUGCCCAAUCAAAAAUAUCAAAACAAUUGUUAGAAGUAGUACAUUUAGAAAAGGCCACAAAAUUAGGUGGCGGCUCCAAGGAAAUGGUAGGCAAAGGAAAGUCCUCAAUGUCAACAAUAGUAUUAGGUUGGUAAGAAUGGGAGGAAGAAAAAGAUUCAGAUUCAGAAGGAGAGGGAGAAAGAGAGCGAGAAUGAGAUGAACUCACAGGUUUUAGGUUAUCCGGGUCCAGAGUAAGGCACAGAGUGGCGUCGCGCAUAUGAUCUGGGGAGUAAGUCAGCUGAGGGUCUUGGCCGGCGGGAAGGGUCUCGGUAGGGCUAGCGGCGCGGUCAGCGGCGGCGCACUGCGCCCGGGGUGUCUUAGGCUGCGGAGCUUCCGCUCGGUGGACAUCGCUGUGGAGGUAGGGAAGGCGGGCGGGCGGGCGGGAGCUUGGUAAAAGAGCUGUCUUCACGGCAAAAACUUGAAAAAAGUAAAAAUAGCCGCAGAAAUUCGGCCGUUCAGGAGAGCUCAAAUUUUCUGAUUUGCGGACACUCGAAAAAAUAGCGGAAUUUGCGGCCGCUGCGGAGAGCACGAAUUUUCCAAUUGGCUGCGGGAGAUGGCGGCCGUUACAGAGAUGACCGACGACGGGAGCGAUGUGUACUCGGCGCGCCCGGCAGAAGGGACGCUCGGAUGGAUAUGGUUAUAGCUAAUUGACCAAAUGGGAUGGCCUUCUAGCUCUACUACUUAGAAGAGGACAGGAUAGAAAAAUAGGGAUAAAGAGAAGAGCACACAGCGCCUGGGGAUGUUGGUGUAGAACAAAAAAAAAGGACCUUAUCAAAGGAGCCAGAAAUUUUUUUUUUCUUUUGAGGAGAAAGUAAUUUCAGAGCACAAAAUCUGGAAGUACUGAAUCGCAUCUUUUGCCAACCAAUGAAAAUGAGCGGCCGCCAGACCACAAAACCCCCGGUUGUGAUGUCGCGCGAUUAAUCGACCAAUCCCGUCCACAAGCCAGCUGGCAAAUUAAAAGUUUGACAUCGCAUACAUAAUUAGUGAUACACGCAUAUGCAGGUAAAACACUGAUGUAAAGUUUAGGUGGAAUUAGAGUCGGGAACCUCCUCUGAUUCCAACUCUCGGAUCCGCGGUCUCAGCCUGUCGCAAGCCAGGAGAAAAUCGAUACAGGCUCGCCAGGUUAAACAACUGUGGGUGAAGUCGCAGGAGCGCCCUCGGCGUGUAACCGAGUUCCCUCCCCGCUAUAAAAAAUAGACAAGUUCUGAGGGAGUCCAGACUGUCACACUCGAGCAUGAUAUGUUCCAGAGUUUCUUCCUCUCCAGAGUCACAGAAAGGGCAGAUAGGAUCAUCAAUAAAUCCAAGUCUGUGAGCAAAGCUGUCUGUCCAUGUGUGUCCAGACAGCAGGCCAAUCACGGUGUGGACACUGGGGACGAUGUACGCAUGUUUUUUGUCCAAGAGACUCAUUGGAGAAAGGCCAAAGCGGGUGAAGAUUCUGCGCUCGGCGGAGAUGAAUCUGUCCGUGCCAAGCUGCCCACGCCCGCUUGUAGAUUAUCGAUUUAAGUUUCGACAGCGGUGCGAGGCGAUAGCAGCUCGGGAGAUCAGAAUCCGCCCCGCGUUUCGCGAGCACAUCAGCUACCUCAUUACCAAAAAUCCCGCUGUGGCCCUUGAUCCAUUGUAUGGUACAUCUGUUCCCAUUGCGGUUCAGUUGUGAAAUCAGCAACAAGGCUCUGUUUACCAGGAGGUUGCCAGUUCUGGUGUUUAGAACGGAUUUCACAACUGAGAGGUUAUCCAGGAGAAUUUCAAUGGUGUAAUUGUCGGGAAGCUUUGAGGCGUCCUCAAGUGCUUUAAUCAAGCCAAGUGCCUCCGCUUGGAAGACAGAACAGUACGGGGACAGGACAAAACUCUCACGCAAUUCAUUCAUUGAGCCAUUCGCACACACUCUAUAUAGGCCUGUGCCAACUCCAGUUCUAGUCUUGGAACCAUCUGUGUAGUAGGUGACGUCAGCCGAAAGAUCAGGAAUAUUAAUGGGAGCGGAGUAAUAGGGAGGAUAGGGAAGUGGGUGAGGGCAGGGAGGAGGUUCGACUGGAAAAUCGGCGUCAACAAAACUGUGCUUUUUAAAGUACAAUUCCGCUUUGGCGCCGACAUCCAGAUCGAGAGGGAGAACACGGGAAAGAGAGAUGAGAGAGUAAGAGUCAGUUGUUUUAAACGCGCGGCAUGUCCUGAUGAGGAACGGGCGCUGCGCGCUUAAGAGAGUAUUUAAAGAGCGUUGUUUUAGAUUAGGAAACCACACAGGAGAAGCGUAAGAGAUGGCUGGGACCACAACCUGUAGAUAGAGCAUCCUCAGGGCACGGAAACCAAAGCCAAAAUUGGAGUUGGCGGCUGCUGUCAAACGCGGGAGAAAUCCGCGGACUCUGGUGCAAACCUCAACCACGUGCUGGUGGAAGGCGAGACGCCGAUCAAAUCUUACUCCCAGCACUUUGAUUGAGUCGCUCCAUUGAAUGGGUUGACCAUUAAUGGUUAGAUCGCAGCUAGGUUUUAGUAGCCUGCCAGUACGUCUUAGAAGGAGCAUGGCCUGACACUUCCUCACGCUGAGUUCCAAUUUAUGCAGGCCACACCACCUCGUGAUCUCAUUAAUGGCAAGUUGCGCCGCUCCAAGUUGCUGAGUAACUUGGCCAGACACUACCAUAACAAGAUCGUCGGCGUAGGCCUGCGGGUGUACACAUUUUUUAAAGUUGAGCGUGAGGAGCUCGUCAAAGACAAGGUUCCAAAGAAACGGCCCAAGAACUGAGCCCUGCGGGCAGCCUUUGGAAACCUGCCUCGUGACCGUGCAACCAUUCAUAGACAGUCUGACAACACGGUUAUAAAGGAAGGAGCGAAUCAGAACAAACAGGUUUUUAGGACAAUCAUUCAUACACAGAGCUCGCAAUAUGCUGGAGUGUAGCACAUUGUCGAAAGCGCCUUUCACAUCAAAGGAAAGAAGAAUAGUAGAUUUUCUAUGUUGAAGCGAACGGGAGAGAUUAUUUUUUAAAUUUAGAAGUGCGGCGACAGUAGAUCUGCAGGGCCUGAAACCGAACUGGUUUGGCUGGGCUUUACACAUCCUCUCUGCUCGCCACGAGAGCCUGGCCAGGAUAAGACGCUCUAGAAUUUUACCUAAGCCAGGCAGCAUCGUGAUGGGCCGAUGAGACGCGAGAAAGUCCUCACCACCUUUUUUGGGAAUGAGUAUGACAUCACCCAGUUUCCAAGGGGUUGGAAAGUGUCCAGUUUCAAAGCACUUAUUAAAGAUCUUUAAAAAGAACGUCGGGAAUUUUUUAAUUAAUUUAACAAUGACUAAAGGUGGCAUACCAUCACUGCCAGGAGCAGAAGUAAGGCUAACCUUAUCCGCAGCCAGUAGCAAUUCUGUUUCUGAGAACGGUGGGUCGUUUUCAGAGGUGGACUGCACGGCUUUAUGUAAGUUAACAUGCUCUACUGUUAUAUCGGGCGGGACGCGGCCGAAGUAAUGUUUUAAUACGUGUUCUAGAGUGUCCCGCGGACUGUCAGUGAGAUCUUCGCCAACCAGGAGAGAGGAUAGAGGCUUCCUCUUGGUGGAGCCUUUAAUAAAUUUAUAAACGCCGCCCCAGGGGUUAACCUCGCAAAGCGAACAGAUCCUUCUCCAUUCAGCAGACUUCGCGUGUCUGAUAGAGGUGCGGAAUCUAUUAUAUAAUUUCUUAUAAAAUAUUUUCAGCACGCUUCUAACAGGCCCACGAGCUUUUCUCCAGGCUCGUUCAGCUUUUUGAGUAACCUUUUGGAGCGGAUUUAGUUCAGGUUUCCACCAAGUGGGUUUCUUAAAAAAAAAAUUAUUGGUGGCAGGUUUAGAGGGAAUGGUUUGUAGACACGAAUGAAACACCUCGUCUUUUAGUAAAUUAAUUACUUCAUCGACUUGAGUUGUGUCACUCGCGUCCAUUAAGGAUGAAAUUUAAAAAAUUUUUUUUUUAAAGCUGGAAAAAAAAAAAUCCCAGUCGGCGCGACCAAAGCUGAAGUUUACUUCGCUAAAGUUGUUUACAUGUAUAUCACUAUUGUUGUUAGAAGAGAGGGGUUCUAAAUUAACGUUAAACACGAGGCGUUUAUGGUCAGAUAAAGCCUGGUUGAUAGCGUCCCAAUCUGUGACCUUGUCCGCGAGGCCGGCAGAACAACACGUGACGUCGAUGGAGGAAGAUUGAUCUCCCUCCUCCCACGUGACCGUGCCAUGUUUGUUGACGACGUGGAAUAAAUUCGUGUCAAUGAAGUUUUCGAUGUUAUCUCUCUUGGAGCAAUUGUAUUUAAGCAACCGCGCUUUAUUUGACCAUCUAUAUGAUUCAAUAUUAAGGUCGCCGCAAAAAAUCACCUCGUGGAAAUUAAUUGUUUUUAAAGAGUUGUCUAUCCUAUCAAGAAGAGCUUCAGAACAACAUGAUGGUGAAAGAUAGACAGUACACAGAAGGAUUGUCAAGUCAUUCACUUCGCACAGGACAAAUACAGCAUUCACACAAGACAAGUGAGAUAAAUGUAAAAAUUUUAAAUUCGGAUUUGCUAUUAUUACAGCCGCUCCCAAUUUAUUUUCAGUUAUAGGACCGUGGCAAACCCUGUCAAGGGGCACUGGCAAUGAUGGUAAGUUGUUUUUAGAAACUGGGAGUUCUUGCAAUAAUAGCACAUCCGAUUUUUCCUCGCGACAUUCAUUCAACAAUGAGUACAAACAAUAUGGAGAGCGUCUUACAUUGGCUUGUACACACUUAAUAACGUUCAUUUUACCCAUAAUUUAUUGAAAUUGUCCUGUGCCUCCCGCAUGUGUUUACACGCCAUGGAGUUGGCACUGUGUUUGUCACCACACCUGUGACAUUUCAAAGCUGCUUUAUUUUCACAUGCUUCGGAAAGAUGCGCACCAGCGCAGUGGCUACAUUUAGCCGCCCUAGUGCACUUCUUUCCGUCGGUGUAGGUUUUGUGACUUAAGCUGCCACAGACACCACAAGGGAAGACGCGCUUUGCUCUGGCGAGUCUCAGCGAAUGGAAGUCGAUCGUGAUCCUACCACGCCCGAGUAGGACAGUCUCAACCUACCUGUUAACCUCAAUUAUCGCGGUGGAGUUGGCACCCUCUUUUUUAAUUAAUUUAACCAUCUUUACGUUUUCGCCGCUUUUCAGCAGCGGUACAACUGCGGGAUGGCUAUUGAUAUCAGCCACAAGCUGCUCUUCAGUUUUCUCUCCUGGAAUACCAAAGAUGGCAAGCCUGGGCUUGAAUGUGGGGUUUGUUUGGACUUUAAGUCCACCAAUGUUGGCGGACUUAACGUUGUCCACAAACCUCUGUUUCUCAGAGGGGUUGGCGAAGUGGAGGACAAGUUUUUUGUCCCCCCCUGUCACCGCGGCUACGUCACAGUUCUUUAGACUGGGCGUCUGGGCGAUUUUUGCCCUGAUCUCGCUAACGGAGUGUUCAGCGGAAGCGAGCUUUACGUGAUUAAUGCUGUUACGCAGCAUAUGCGCGUAACUGGGUUUGGAUGGUUUGGCAGGCUUAGCACCUGCAUUGGCUGGCGGGGUGACUUUAGUCAUCGUUGUGGUUGGUUUGGGAGGAGGUGUGGGAGCGACGGUAGUUGUUUUUUUCUUCAAGGCUGUUAAUUCAGCCCUAAUUUCUGCGACUUUAAGGUCGCAGCACUCCAGCUUAUGCUGGAGGAUCCCCACAGCAGUGUUUUGCAGAUCGGCGAGCAGACCAUUCAUUGCUUGAAAGAAAAACCUAUUAGAUGGGGAGCUUAGCUCCCCGCUAAUCCUUGCCCCAACUUCAUGUAUAAAGAUUUCUUGGAAGCCCUUAAAAGAAGUGUUAAUUUCUUCCCACCCUUCCCUAAACGCUGUGUUAGAGUUAAUGGGAAUAAUGGGAGCAGGAGGAGAAGGAGUGACCCGGGGAAACUCACCCAGAGUAGGGGCAGAAGAAGCGGAGGUAUCCGCCGCCAUAGUGUUAUCCAAAGAGUAAUCCGCACAAGAGUAAUCCACGAGCAAUCCAAGAGAAAGAGUGAUCCAGUGAUGUGUGCACAGGUUGGUGUCAGGGACGCGAAUGAUUAGAGGAAGGGACGCUCGUUGGCGUGGUGUUAAAUUUCACUCCCUCCGCUGUAAGCUUUCGGACAAGCUUUUUCGGAGAACAUACACCUGACAUCAACAAGGUAAGCGGCCCGCCGCAUCUGGAAGGCUGAAAACUGGCAGGCACGGAAGGCUGUGAGGGCACCGACAGAGGGAAGUGGAAGCCGGGGAGAGUUGGCUAAGGGUCGUGGCUGAGGGGACAAGGCUGCGCCAAGUACACCAAGUACAGGCGGCAAGUAAAUCUGCUGAAAACUUUAUUGAUUAGUCACAAUCAAGUACAGGAGGGGAAGUAAAUAGGAUCAUGGGUACAAGUGGCUAUUUACAAGCAGUAGGGGUGGGAAACAAUGGGAGGUAGGUGGAAAGGAUGGCAAGUGGGCAAGAUGAUGAAGGGGUUACAGGGUUGGGUUGGCACAUGGGGUUCCAGGGGGGAUAUUUACAGGGAGACAGAAAGGGGGAUUAGGCAAAAGUUAUAAAGAGUCAUCAGAGGAUGGACAAUUCUCAGGCACGAAUCUACCACAGUUGUUGCCAAAAUCGCAGGCAGAGCGCCAGAGAGAGCUGGAAGUGGCAAAAUCAGAGAGGGUGGUUGGAAUCCUACCGGCAAUGGACAAGCAGGAAUUAAACAAGGUAGCCCUGAGGUCGUCAAGGUGGGGACAGUUGAAAAAGAUAUGCUCUACUGUUUCCGGAGCGAGAUGGCAGUCGGGGCACGUGAUUUCACGCAAGAGGUCCCUUCUACUAUACCUGUAAGAUCCAAUGAAGGAGUGGCCGGUAAGAAAACCUGUGAUGACCUGUGAUGAGGGGUGUAUAAACCUAUGUUCGUUAAGGAGUGAAAGAGGGGAGAUAUUGAAAACCUGGAAAAUGGUGGGGUUUUUGUCACGGAAUUCAACAUCCCAGCGAUCCCAGAAGCUGCGCGAGGUGAACCUGUGCAGGUGGUUUUGGGUAGCCAAGGUAUAUAGUGGGGGGCGAUGAUGAAUUUGCGGCGGCGGAGCGUGCCAGCUGAUCGGCUAGGCAAUUACCGAAGAUCCCAGCAUGGCCUUUGACCCAGUGUAGGGUGAUAGAUCUAUGGGGGAGGAGGGAAAAGAGCAACCUCUGUAUCUUGAACACCAGAGGAAACCUUGUAUCGAGGUUGGAGAUGGCGUGUAGAAGGGAAAGGCAGUCCGAGAAGAUCCCAACCGAGAGGUUAGGAGGAAGGGUGGAGACGUCCCGUAGCGCCGUGAGGAGGGCAAAGCUUUCGGCUUGAAAAACGCCGCAGUGAGUGGCGAGAUGUAGGGAGAGGGACAAGGGUGGAAUCCCAAGGGAGGAAGAGGAAAUUCUGGCGACGCCUGAACCAACCCCCUCUUUGGUUUUGGAGCCGUCGGUGAAGUAACAGACGUCAGGUGCGCUAGGAGGGAUGGGACGGUGGGAGAGAUCGGGAAGAAGAGGUGGAGACGGGUAGAGGAAGGGAGGAGGUCUCUUUCGACCUGGAAGGGCAAAGGCUCGGGUGGGCGUGAUAGCGAAGAGAGAAGCAGGAUUUUUAGGUCGAGGGGAAGGAUCCUAAGGAGAGCUAUGGCUGCCAAGAGGGGAACGGUCCGGAAUCCACGGAUAGCGUGGAGGCAAAACUUCCGUUGUGUUGAACGGAGUUGACUCCGGCCCGCACUGGUCUUGACCGCAUCAGCCCAGAUCGGAGCGCCGUACGUAAUGGCGGGUUCAAUGGCCCCAAUGUAUAGUCGUCGGCGGGCGUGAAACCCGAGGCCUGAGCGGGCGUUGGAGCAACCCUUGAGGCGACCUAGAAUGGACAGGGCACGGUCGCAUACCCAUUGGAGGUGGGAGUCGAAGGUGAACCUAUCAUUGAAGACCACCCCGAGGGCCCUUAGCCUAUCCGUCCAUGGGAUAACAGUAUCCUGUAAAGUCAAGGAGGGAGGGUUGGUAAAGAUAGGGAGGACCUCACUUUUGUGAGGAGUGAGGGUCAGUUUAUUGUCCAGACACCAGUCGGAAACGAGAUCGAUGGAGAGCUGGGCGCGGGAGGUCAGAAUGCCUGGGGGACCUGACACUACGAUCUGAAGGUCGUCCGCGAAUGCCUGUAUAUGAACGCCGGGUGGGUAGGGAAGGGAUAGUACAGGGUUAAAGGCAAUGUUCCAGACGUGGGGGCCACUCCUAGAUCCUUGGGGGCACCCUCUGGAGGGAAGCUUAGAAGAAGAGCAUUUUUUGUAAGAAAGGGUGACUGUACGGUCACUGAGGAAGGAGUGGUAAAGGGCCUGGAGGGUGGGUGGACAGGCGGCGGCGGUGAGCUGAGUAAGGAAGGACGGGUGCCAUAGGUGGUCAAAGGCCGACUUGAUGUCGAGACUGAUGAGGAGGGCGCAUUGGUGGGAACGUAUGGACUCCGAAAUUUUGGUCUUUAGUAGGGCGAGGGCGUCCAAAGCACUUCUCCCUUUCCUGAAACCAAACUGAUUGGGGUGGAGGAGACCGUUGGAUUCAAAGUGGUGCGAAAGUCGAAGGGAGAGCAUGCUCUCGAGGGUUUUACCCAGGAUAGGGAGGAGAACUAUCGGGCGGUUUUGGGAGGUGAAAUCCUCACCACUCGAUUUCUUGGGGACUAGUACAACUCGUCCUACUUUCCAGAGCUUGGGGAAGUGGCGAAGAGAAAAGCAUUUGUUAAAGAGGUUGAAGAAAAAGGUGGAGAAGGAGGAAAGUAGCCAUUUGGCGAAUUGACCGGGCAUCAAGUCAGAACCAUGGGACUUUUUAGGGUUGAGGGCCCGUAGAGCAAGGUGGAAUUCUAGGGUAGAAAAAGGAAUUUCAGGUGGGGGAGGGGUAGAGGGAAUAGGGGGGGAGGGAAGGAGGUGGGAUGGGCCGGAAUUUGGAGGAGGCUCUGAAAAGUAGACGUCCAAGAUGUCCUUAAGGUUAGCAUUGACGUUCUGUUGGGUAGUGAGGGUUUCAAACCUCCUUGAACAGAACGGGUUACGCACGGAGAACCCUCGAGCGACAUAGCGGUGUAUAGGACCCCAAGGAUUAUGGGUGAAUGAAGAGGUAAAUUCCCUAAAGUGCCUUUUCUUGGCAUUGAGGAUAGACCUAUUAUAUUUGUUUCAGAGUCUUGCGUAACCCUCGCGGUAGCUUUCGCGGAGAGGAGGAGCGACGGUUUUCAAUUUCCUGCCAAGACUCCUUGAAAGCGUCUUCAAUCUCUGAAGUUCGGAGUUCCACCAGGGGACGGGGGGAGGGAAGGAGGGGAGAGGAGUUUUGGGGCUGAGGUUCUGGGAACAAGAAAGAUGUAGAAGAGAGUAGAGAAGAUCGAUGAGUUGGUCCAGCGAGGCCGCCGAGUCACAACUAUCGAGGGCUGUAGAAAGAGAGCUAUCGGGGGAAAAGAUAGAAUUGAGGGCUAGAAAGAGUCUGCGAGGGGGUGGGGAUUUAAGGUUGAAGGAGGAAAAGUCAGGGAAUAGCCUAGGAUGAGGGGAAGGGGGGGGACCGAGGUCUGGAACAUCUAGGCUAAAGAAGAUCUGAAAAUGGUCAGAAAGGGCACACUCCUCUGCCUUCCAUCCCGAGACGGCACUGGAGAGGUGGUUGGAGACGCAAGAGAUGUCUAUAGAAGACUCCCGCGAUCCGAGGCGGCGGGUGAUGGUUCCCAUCCGGUUGCACACGUAGAGUUGCAAAGUGUCUAGGAGAUCAUUCACAUGAUCCCCUUUCCGGUUGGGACGCCGGAGGCUCCAUCGGGCUGAUUCAGCGUUAGCGACGCCCGCAAGGAUAAGGUUGGGAGGAGGGGGGGAACCGAGGAGGGAGGAAAGAGAUUCAGUAGCACUGAGGAAGUUUGAGUUGCAGGGGAGGUAAAGAGAGCAGAUAGUAAGAUGAAAGUUCGGGAGGUCGACCACCGCAAUAGUGCGGUUGACAGUAGAAAUUUUGGGAAGGAAGAGAAUAGGGAGGUCAAGAUUAAGAACGAUAAUGCAGGAACUACAUUUGUUGUUUAGAAUAGGGGCGUGGAGAUAGGAGGAAGCGGGGACAGGAAAACAGGCAGGGAUUCGUCCAGAGCGAACAGGGAGUUCCUGGAGGAGAAGGAGGUCGAUCCCGGAAGAAAGAGCAGUAUGAAUAGAAGAAAAGAAGCACGGUAUAGACCUAUUGCAGUUUCGCUGCAGGAAGGAGAGCUUCAUUGUAGGCUGUUUUUAGAGUGGAAGUCCUCCUCGGCUUUUUUCAGUACUGGGCAUUUUAGGGAAUCAGCCCGAUGUUCCUGUUGGCACCUGAAACAUUUGGGUUUCUGUGCGGUGGACGGACACUCACUCACGCUGUGGUUGUUGCCACAGUGGAGGCAUUUGGGAGACCAUUUGCAAGCGGGAGUUUUGUGACCGAUUGUGCCGCAUUUACGGCACGGGAAGGUGGCCCUGGUCUUGGCGAUUGACAGGAUGGCAUAUCCGAAGAAAGUCUUGGCCCUGUUGUGGAGAAGGGAGGCAUUGGUGGGGCCGACCUCAAAAACAGCGUGUUUCGUAUUGCGGCCUGUGCCUAUUGUUCGGAUCAAGCUGCACUUGUUGUCGGAAUUUUCGAGGCCCGAGAGGAAGAUGUCGGUAAGAGAGCUAUCUGGGGUAUCGGCUGGAAUGUCAAAGACCGUGAACCUUUGGUGGAAAGUUGGCGGGCGGAUGAGAUCGAGUUCCAAACUAGAAGCUAAGGGAGUAACUAUAUUGGUUAGGGUUGCUAGGUCUUCCUUAUUUUUGGUGUGGAGCGUUAUUUUGGAAUUGGUCGCACUCACAUAGAGAAUGGGGACACCUAAGGAACGCAAGGGGAGAAUAGAACCAAGGCGGGAACCUAUAGGAGUCAGGACCUCUGCUUUUUGGGUUAGGGUGAUGUGGAAAGGGUUAUUACGGGGGGGAAUGGGGCGGAUUUUAGUUGGCCUAGGGUUAGUAACAGCAGCCCUGGGUUUAGAGGUGGUGGAGGGCGGGGGUUUGUGGGCAAUGGUGACUGGGUCGUUAGAGGGAGUAUUGGCAACAACUGUGGUAGUAGGUGUUACAGGGGUAUGAGGCAAGGUACACACUUUAGAAGUAGGGGGAGGUGGGUAGAGGGAUUUGAUUGGGCGGCAAAAAAUAGUGAGGAAGAACAUUGCAAUUCAUGAAUUCUAUGGGUAUAGGCAUAUUUAAGGGUGGCUAUGAUUUUUUCAAGUUGUUGGUAAACAAAAGAACCAAGAUUGCUGUCUGUGUCUCCGAUAUGGUUACAUAGCAUUGUACAGUUUUUGGUCGCCCAAUCAAAUGCCUGGUAAAAGGGUGUUGGUUUGGAGUUAAAAGGGAAGGGCAAUGAGGGUGGAGGAGCUGUCAGUGUGAAGUCCCUUGGUGAAUAAUUAAGGUCCUGGUUAGGGUUUGGUGUGGCUGAUGGAGGAUGGAUAGGGGUGGAAGCACUUACCCCAGGCCGGUUGCUAUGGAUGAGGUUACCUCCGAAUGUUGGGUCCAUUGCGGAGUCGAACAUUCUGUAGACGACUUCAUCAGGAGCUGGGCUGGGGAUGGGGGAAGAGGAGUCUUGGGAAGAAGACUGAGAGCCCCCAGGAGAGAAGGAGGCGUCGGAGGGAGGGGGCGGAGGUGUGGUCUCUGGAGGGAUCGCUGAGAUGGGGGCACGUGACUGGGUAGGCCUUCUGCUGGUUGUCUGGCGGCAUGUGGGCCCACCAGCGGGCGGGCGGCUGUUGGGGGGCGUACUGGCAGGUGCGCGGCGAUGGGCGGAGGAGCCGCCGCUCGGGGGGGAGGGUAAUGGAGCCAGCUUGGGAGAGAGAUGAUGUUUCCUCGUCUGGAGGGGGAAAGCAAUUGGCGGUGUGCGGCCGCUCAGGAGAACCCGCGUUUUGAUUUGCUGCGGGCAAAAAUAAAAUCCGGGAGGGAGGAACGGCGUUUGGCGGCCGUUAAGGAGGUCCGGAAUAAUAAUUUAAAUUUUCCUCGUUUGGCGGGGUGUCCAGGAGGGUAUUCAGGUGGAACACACACAGUCGCAGGGGCACAGGAGCGCGGGGGCACUGGAGUACAAGAGGUCUCGGGCGCUGUAGAGGUGUGUAAAGGGGUAAAAUAAUUUUCCCUAUUUAGCAACCUUGAAUAAACUGACACCACCAAAAAAAAGUGAGUGCCCUUACUUCAGGCAGUAUCCCUGUGCCUUACCACGGGUGGGGGGUCACAAGGGACUGGCAAGAAGCGAUCCUAAUUCAAGGGAAGCUUUUGACUCCAAGAGUAUCCAGUAAUCCUUACCACUGGUGGGGGGAAUAACUAGACUCGCUGAAGUUAUCGAGAGAGUGUGGACGCUCGUUGGCGUGGAAGUGUUAAAUGGCCGAGUGCGGCCGCUUUGGAGAUCCCGCAUUUUGAUUAACUGCGGGCGGAAAAAAAUCCGGGGAGGAUAAAUGGCGUUUGGCGGCCGUCCAAGAGAUCCGGGGAAUUAAAUAAUUUUUAUCCUCGUCUGGUUUCUUGGUGAAUUGGGGCUGGGCGUCCAAGGAUGUAUCCUUGUAUGACCGCUGGCGCUGGGGAACAGGAGCACAGGAGACCAGGGGCAUUAUAGAGAAAUUCCUAUUUAGCUUCGGCAUAGGUGGGCAGGGAGAGGAUGUUUGCAAUUUUUGUUCAAGGAGAUGAGUGAGGAGGUUUGUGGAGUUGUUGGCCUCGAGGAGGCGUUGUUGGUGUAUUUUUGAGAUGUGUGCGAAAGUUUUUUUUAGAGCAAAGCGGAAACCAUCAGCAAGGGUGGGGUCAACAGAGUCAGCAUAAGGGGCAAGGAUGUGAUAGGCCCAGUUUAGAUGUAGGAGGUGUGAGGGGUUGUUGGUUAGGAACAUGUCACAUGUGGGUGGAGGUGAGUCAAGGGUGUAGUGUUGUUGAGUUGGUUGGCGUAGGUGGAGUGGUGUGUGUACAUGUGUGGAUGAGGUAGGGUGAAGAGGGGUGGAGGAGCUCACCCCUGGUCGUCUGCCAAGGUCCAGAUUCCCGCCGAUGGUAGGGUCGAGCAGGGAGUUGAACAUGCUCGGGUGGACAAGCUUCGCCUGUCUGAUAGAGGUGCGAAAUCUAUUAUAUAAUUUCUUAUAAAAUAUCUUUAACACGCUUCUAACAGGCUCACAAGCUUUUCUCCACGCCCUUUCAACUUUUUGAGUUGCCCUUUGGAACGGAUUUAGUUCAGGUUUCCACCAAGUGGGUUUCUUAAAAAAAAAAUAUUGGUGGAAGGUUUAGAGGGAUUGGUUUGAAGACAGGAGUGAAACACCUCGUCCUCUAGUAAAUUAAUUACUUCAUCAACUUGAGUUGUGUCACUCGCGUCCAGUAAGGAGGAGAUUCUAGACAUUUUUUUAUUAAAGUGAGAUAAAAAAAAUCCCAGUCGGCGUGACCAAAGCUGAAGUGUAUUUCACUAAAGUUGUUUACGUGUAUGUCGUUAUUGCUGUUAGAAGAGAGGGGUUCAAAAUUAACGUUGAACACGAGGUGUUUAUGGUCAAAUAAAGCCUGGUUGAUUGCAUUCCAAUCGGCGAUCCCGUCCGCGAGGCCAGCAGAACAACACGUGACGUCGAUGGAGGAGGACCUCUCGCCCUCCUCCCACGUGAUCGUGCCGUGUUUGUUAACAACGUGGAGCAAGUUAGCGUCGAGGAAGUUUUCGACAAUUUCUCUUUUAGACCAUUUGUAUUUAAGCAACCGCGCUUUAUUUGACCAUCUAUAGGAUUAAAUAUUAAAGUCCGCGCAAAAAAUCACCUCGUGGAAAUUAAUUGUUUUUAAAGAGUUGUCUAUCCUAUCAAGAAGAGCAUCGGAACAACAUGAUGGUGAAAGAUAAACAGUACACAGAAGGAUUGACAAGUCAUUCACUUCACACAGGACAAAUACAGCAUUCACACAAGACAAGUGAGACAAGUAUAUGAAUUUUAAAUUCGGAUUUGCUAUUAUUACGGCCGCUCCCAAUUUAUUUUCAAUUAUUGGACCGCAGCAAACCCUGUCAAGGGGCACAGGUAAUGACGGUAAAUUGUUUUUGGAAACUGUGAGUUCUUGCAACAAUAGCACAUCCGAUUCCUCCUCGCGACAUUUAUUCAACAAGGAUUACAAACAAUAUGUCUUUCAUUGGCUUGAACACACUUGAGAACGUUCUUCGCACCAACAAUUUAUUGAAAUUAUCCUGUGCCUCCCGCAUGUGUUUACACGCCAUGGAAUUGGCACUGUGUUUGUCGCCACACCUGUGACAUUUCAACACAGUUUUGUUUUCACAGGUUUCGGAAAGAUGUGCACCAGCGCAGUGGCUACAUUUAGCCGCCCUAGUGCACUUCUUUCCGUUGGUGUGGGUUUUGUGACUUAAACUGCCACAGACACCACAUGGGAAGACGCGCUUUGCUCUAGCGAGUCUCAGUGAGAGGAAGUCAAUCGUGAUCCUACCACGCUCGAGCAAGGCAGUCUCGACUUCCUUAUUUACUUCUACUAUCGCAGUGGAGGGGGCACCCUCUUUCUUAAUCAGUUUCACCAUCCUCAUGUUUUCGCCACUUUUCAGCAGCUUUUCGACAACGGGAUGGCUACUUAUAUCAGCCACAAGCUGCUCCUCAGUUUUCUCUCCAGGAAUACCGAAGAUAGCAAGCCUGGGCUUGAAUGUGGGGUUUGUCCUGACUUUAAGUCCACCAAUGUUGGCGGACUUAACGUUGUCCACAAGCCUCUUUUUUUCAGAGGGGUUGGCGAAGUGGAGGACAAGUUUUUUUUAUCCCUCCCUGUCACCGCGGCUACAUCACAUUUUUUUUAAACUGGGAGUUUGGGCGAUUUUUGCCCUAAUCUCACUAACAGUGAGGUCCGCGGAAGCGAGCUUCACGUGGUUGGUGCUGUUACGCAGCAUAUGCGCGUAACUGGGCUUAGUUGGUUUAGCAGGCAUAGCAACUGCAUUGGUUAGCUGGGUGACUUUAUUCGUCACAGGGGCUGGUUUGGGAGGAGGUGUUGGAGCAUUGGGAGAUCCUGCCAAGGAGGGAAGAGGCCUUAUCGCAGACUCGGUAGAGGUGAGGGGUGAAGGAAAGACGAUCGUCGAACGUAACGCCCAAGAUGGUAAGGGUUUCGGGACAGGAGAGGGGGGGUGUCAUCUAUGAGGAGAUGGGGAGGGUUGCAGUAAAUAGGGAGGACCAGUGACUUAUGUGGGGUGAGGGAGAGCUUGUUGUCCAGGCACCAAGAGUGAAUGAGGUCGAGGGAGGACUGAGCUAGAGAAGGGAGGCUGUUGGAGGGGCCUGAGACGAGGACCUGAAUGUCGUCUGCGAAGGCCUGAACGUGGACGCCGUGGGGGAAGGGGAGGGAGAGAAUGGGGUUAAAGAAUAUGUUCCAGAGCAGGGACCCGCUGAUGGAGCCCUGAGCGCACCCCCGCGAGGGAGAGGUGGAGCGAGAGAAUCCUCGAUAGGAGAAGUGGAUAGAGUGGCUGGAAAGGAAAGAGCGGUAAAGUUGGAGGAGGUCGGGGGGGCAGGAGGCGGCGACCAGUCGACCGAAAAGGGCGGGAUGCCACAGGUGGUCAAAGGCUGAUUUGAUAUCAAGGCUAAUGAGGAGACAGCACUGGUAUUUGGAAACGGACAGUUUGAAUUUUUGAUGGAGAAGUGAAAGAGUUUCGGUGGUAGAGCGCCUCCGUCGGAAGCCGAAUUGGUGAGGGUGGAGCAGGUGGUUACUCUUUCGAGUAGCUUGCUGAGAAUGGGGAGAAUUAUAAUGGGUCGGCAUUUAUGCUUGAAGUCGGUGGAGGAGGAGCGUUUAGGGAGGAGGAGGAGGCGACCCGCUUUCCAAGCGAGGGGAAACGGCAUUGACAUCUCCAGCGAAGAGAAGGCGAGGGGGGGGAGGGGAGCCAAAGAGGGAGAUAAAGGAGUCGAUGAUGGGGGAGUAAGAAGUAUGGUGGGGAAAGUAGACGGAACAAAGGGUGAGGUGGAAGCCGGGGAUGUCCAGGAUUGCGAUAGUGCGGUUGCUAGUGGAGAGACGCGGGAGGAAGACUAUGGGGAGGCUCUGGUUAAGGAUCACUAUGCAAGAGUUGCAGCGGUUGUUGGAGAUGGGAGCGUGGAGGAGGAGGGGGUGGGGAAGGGGGAGGGGAGGACGUUGUCGUGGACUGGAAGCUCUUGGAGGAAAAGGAUAUCUAUGUGUGAGGACUGGGCGAACUGUAUUAUGGAGAGGUAGCCGAAGAGGGAUCGGUUGCAAUUUAAUUGUAGGAAGCUGAUCAUAUGAGGUUGUGGGUGAUUAAGAAAGUGUUUUCGGCGGCCUUGAUGUCCGGCCAGGAGAGUGAGUCUGCCCGGUGUUGGCCGUCGCCGCUGCAACGGAAGCAUUUGGGUGGGAGGGUGGUGGAGGUACAAUCGUUGGUGUGGUGUGUGUCGCCGCAGUGUAGACACCUGGCUGGUUUGUUGCAUAUGUCGUUACGGCAGGGGUGCGUGGAUCUGGUUCUUUUGAACCUGAUGGAGUUGUAGCCGAUGAAGAGGCGGGUGCGGGUUUGUAUGUCGGUGGCGGUUUCGUGGUUUGUUUCUAUGAUGGCGUGAACGGAAUUGUUGCGGCCGUUAAAGGUCCUGAUUAAUGUACAGUCGGGGCCGACCGAUUGGGUGAGGAGGGAGGGUAGGUCAUUGAGUGGGAGGGUGUUGGGGAGGUUAAAGAGAGUGAAACGGGGUUUAAAUUUGGGGGGAAGGGUUACAUUGAUAUCAGAGCCUGUGGUAGCGUGUUUAAGUUUGGCGAAAAUGUUGUCCAUGCUUGUUUUUGUGUUGGUGUGUAAGAUUAACUUGUUCCUGGAGCGGAAUAUGUCGGUGAUUUGGGUUGUGGGGGAAGCGAGGGUGGAGAAGCAAAUUUUUGAGCGGAGGUUGUUGUCUAUGGGGGUGCUGGCGGAGUUGUCUUGAGUGAUGAGGAUGUGGUAAGGGUUGUUGCGGUUAGAAGGGGGAGGGGGGCGGCGGGGUGGGAUGUGUGUGGUGUGGCAGGGGGAGGGGGAGUAGGAGAGGGGGGUAGGGGUUUAGAGGUGGUGGAGGGCGGGGUUUUGUGGGUAAUGGUGACUGGAUGGUUAGGGGAGGUGUUAGCAACAACUCUGGUAGUAGGUGUUACAGGGGUAUCAGGCAAGGUGCACGCUUUAGUAGUAGGGGGUAGGUGGGAAGAGGGAUUUGGUUGGGCAGCCAAGAACAGUGAGGAUGAAUAUUCUAGCUCGUGGAUCCUACGUGUGUAGGAAUCUCUGAGGGUGGCUAUAAAUUUUUCGAGGUGUGAAAUGACACAUGCGCCAAGAUUGCUGUCUGUGUCACUGAUAUGGUGACACAGCAUUGUACAGUUUUUGGCCGCCCAAUCAAAUGCCUGGUACAAGGAUGUCGUGUUGGAGGUAAUAGAGUAGGGCAAGGAGGGUGGAGGUGAGGUCAAUGUGAAGUCACGUGACAAAUUCAGGUCCUGUUCUGAGCUUGAGUUUGAUGUGGCUGAUGGAGGAUGGAUAGGGGUGGAAGCACUUACCCCAGGCCGGCUGCUAUGGAUGAGGUUACCUCCAAUUGUUGGGUCCAAUAGGGAGUCGAUAAUCCAAAUUGUGCUUUAUUUUUUUGGUUCCACAGAUCUUCAACCAUAAUAUUAUCUCGCAUUCUUAUCUCAUUUCCAAAUAAAGUAUGGGCUCUUUCGUCUGAAUCUCGCUCAAUCAGGUAAUUGCGUAAAUUGAAGGAACUUCUCCCAAGAUUAUGCAGUUCCAUUUUAUUCACUUGAUCUAUGCAUUGAUCCCACCAUUCUGAUAGCUCCAGUAUGGAGGCAAUGAGAUUUGGUUUUUUUACAUGGAGAUUAUGUAAAACAGUAUUUUAUCAUGAAUUUCAAUAAAGGGCAUAGCUUAAUCGCAAUUUCUCUUGUUUCAAUAUAUUUCAAAAAAAAAAAUCCAGUUGAAUAUCCGAAAUUGGCAUCAAAAUCUCUGUAAUUUCUUCCAUCUCUAAAUUAUCGUUAAUAAUAUUAUUACAUAUAUAUAUUGCAAGAUAGCUAGAAGGUGAACAAUCAUCAAUUCCUCUUAUAUUUAAAUCUGCUCCAAACUCAAUUAAUAAUUUUAUAAGUUCUCUAUUCCAAAAAUAUAUUGCACAAUUUAGAGGUAAUGUUUCUUGAUGAUUUUUUUUCAUUAACGUUUAUACAACCUAACUCUAACAGAAAUUUUGAAAUUGAAAAAUUAUCUUCGAUACAUGCAUGUAAAAAUGCUGAAUCACCAUUAUUGUCAGUUUCAUCAAUUUUCACUCCUGCUUUAAGUAAUUCAAUCAAAAUAUCCUUUUUGUUAGCUAUUGCUGCAACUAUUAAACAUGUUCUACCAUUUUCAGCUCUUGAAUUUGCAUCCGCGCCAGCUUCUAACAAUAACCUAACAUUUGUAAGACUUUCCAUACGGGAAAAAAAUAAGGGUGUACAACCUCUUUUAUCACAAGCGUUUACAUUUGAGCGACAUUCUAAUAAAAUUUUGAGAAUAUUUAUAUUAUCUUCUUUAGCUGCAUACAUCAAAGGAGUAAGUUCUUCUGAAUUCUUUGCUUCUAAAUCUGCAUUUUUUAAAUCAAUAUUUCGCAAAAAGAUUUAAAUUGUAAAUACACAGCUAAAUGUAAACAUGUAAUCGAGUUUUCAUAUUUCAGGUGAAUAUUUGCACCUUUCUCAAGCAAGAGUUCAAAUAAUUGAAGAUUACUUUGAUCAAGAGAAAUAAAUAGUGUUGUUUCUAGGGUGUGUGGCCGCUCAGGAGAACCCGCGUUUUGAUUGGCUGCGGGCAAAAAACAAAUUCUGGGAGGGAGAAUCGGCGAAAGUUAACCCUUAGGUCAUUUAGCUGGGGACAUUCAAAAAAUAUGUGGUCAACCGUUUCAGGGGCGUGUUGGCAGUCAGGGCACAUGACAUCUCGCAAGAGGUCCCUCCUCCUAUACCUGUAGGUUCUGAUAAAUGUGUGGCCGGUGAGGAAACCUGUGAUAAUUUGCGAAGAGGGGUGGAUAAACUUUUGUUCUCUAAGGAGCGAAAGAGGGGAGAUUUUGAAGGUCUGGUAGAUGGUAGGGUUCUUAUCACGGAAUUCAACAUCCCAGCGAUCCCAGAAGCGGCGCGAGGUGAACUUGAGCAGGUGGUUAUUGGAGGCCAAGGAAUACACUGGGGGCGAUAAUGAGUCAGCGGCGGCUUGGCAUGCCAGCAGAUCGGCGAGACAGUUCCCAAAAAUGCUGGCAUGGCCUUUAACCCAGUGCAGGGUGACGUGUCUUUGAGGGAGGAGAGAAAAAAGUAGCCUCUGUAUUUUGAAAACCAGGGGGAACCUUAUAUCGGGGUUGGAGAUGGCGUGAAGAAGAGAAAAGCAGUCAGAAAAGAUCCCAACAGAGAGGUUAGGAGGGAGGGUAGAGACGUCCCGGAGCGCCGUGAGGAGAACAAAGCUCUCAGCCUGAAAUACGCUGCAGUGAGAGGCAAGAUGUAGGGAGAGGGCCAAGGGUAAGAUCCCAAGAGAGGAAGAGGAAAUUCUAGCGAUGCCAGAACCUACCCCCUUUUUGGUUUUGGAUCCAUCAGUAAAGUAGCAGACAUCAGGAGCUGUAGGAGGGAUGGGACGGUGAGAGAGAUCGGGCAGAAGAGGUGGAGACGGGUAGAAGAAGGGAGAAGGUCUUUUUUCAACUUGGAAGGGCAAGGGCUCGGGUGGGCGCGAAAGCAAGGAGAGUAAAAUGAUUUUUAGAUCGAGAGGAAGGACCCUAAGAAGAGUUAUAGCAGCGAAGGUGGGGGCGCUAUGAGGCGCUGGCUGUAUGUUUGUGUGAGGUGUGAGAAUGUUAUGUCAAGGGUAGUUUCAAAUUAGUCGGCGUUUGAGGGGGUGAGGAUACAGGCGAAUGGAGCAAGGAGUCUCAGAGAGGGGUAAUCAAUGGAAAAAUGCUCGAGCAGAGCAGCCUCGAUAUCUUUGUUUACCUCUAAUAUCGCUGUGGAGGGUGAACCCUCGUUCCUUAUCAGUUUAACAAUUCUACAAUCGGCGUCGUUUUUCAACAUUUUCUCGAGAGCAGGAUGGCACCUAAUAUCAGCCGCAAGCUGCUCCUCGGUUUUCUCAGCUGGAACCCCAAAGAUAGUGGGCCUGGGCUUAAAUGUAGGGUUCGACUGGACUUAAGACUGCCAAUGUUAGCGGUCUUAACCUUGUCAACAAACCUCUUUUUUUCAAAGGGAUUAGUUUUUUUUUUUUGCUUAUCCCUAGUACACGUGGUACAGGCCAUGAUAAUCAUGGUGGGUAGUUAGCGACUGCUUUUACUGUAAGUGCACCACAUGUCUACACAUGUGAAAAGCAGUUCGACUUUGCACUUACUAAUGCCAGAGCCCCGUUUGGUUACUUGCACUCGCUGGUGGGGUUGGACUUUUGCAAGAAUCGGGGGCCAUUGGAGCAUUUUUUUUCUUUAAACAGAAAAAAGUGUCCAAUGCGGGUUCGAACCCGGGUCCUAGUGGUCGAAAACCAAAUGGUUUAACCAGGUGGAGGACCAGUUUUUUAUCCUCCCCCCAGUCACAGCGGCAACAUCCAAGUUCUUCAAACUGGGAGUCUGAGCAAUUUUUGCCCUUAGCUCCUUGACAGAAAGAUCGGCGGAAGCCAACUUAACAUGUUUGGCACUGUUACGCAGCGUCUGAGCGUAGCUGGGUCGUGAGGGCUUGGUCAGAUUAACACUGACACUAGCUGGCAGCGUGACUUUUGUCACUGGAGCGGAUUUGAGGUCGCAGGCCUUCAGUUUGUUGGCCAGAAUGUCAAACAAGGAGUGCUGCAGACUCGUCAACAUCCCGUUAAUUCUAUGGUACAUCACCCAGUAAGGUGAUGCACCCAUGUCCUUACCCAGGACCGUUCCUAUCUUCCCAUACACCAUAGUUAGACAUUCAGUGAAGCUGGUGCCUAUUUCUUCCCACCCUUCGCCGAAUGCCUGGUUGGAAUCAAGAGGCCUGAUGGGUGAAGUAGAGGGAGAGACCCGGGGAUACUCACCAGUGGGAGGGAUCUCAGGUUGAACAAGCCUGAUUCCAUGCCAAGAGGGGUCCAUUGUAUUAGCGUCGCUUUUUUUAUUAUUGCAUCUAACCAGGGGGGUGUCCAUCAUGCCGUCGAGGGAUGAUCAGUGGAGCCUCGCUCGUAAGCUUUUAAAUUACUCAAAACAAAAUGACUCAUGUAGAACUUGAGCCAAAAAAAGGAAAAACUCCGCAGGUUGUGGGGAUGGGUGAUACAUGGGCACGGAAUGUGCUGGUUGACAGUCAAUAUGAACAAGUUGGUACAGAUGGGUAUGAUGUGGAAGGGAUGACAGAAGUUUACAACAAUAUAUGUACAACAAACAAAAUGAGCAAGAUAAACAACAAGGGGGAAUGUGGGAACGUAUGACAGACUACGGGCUAUGGAUUACAAUAGGGAAAAAUCAUCAGACUGUGGAAUAUUUUCAGGCACAAACCUACCAUAGUUGUUGCCGAAUUCACACGCAGAAUGCCAAAGAACACUGGAGUCGGCGAACUCAGAGAGGGUGGUUGGAAUUUAAAUCUCUCUUCAGAAACUGGCUUGUUAGAAUAAGCUUCCUUUGCUCGUCCAAGUUUUCAACAGAAUCUCUUCUGGAAGAGAUAAAUUUAAGCAACCGUGCUUUAUUUGACCAUCUGUCAAAAAAAUACCUCGUGGAAAUUGAUUGAUUUUAAAGAGAGGUCUAUCCUGUCAAGAAGGGCGUCAGGACAACAUGAUGGCGAAAGAUAAACAGUAAACAGAGGGAUUGACAUGUCAUUCACUUCACAUAGAACAUUCACACACGACAAAUGUUCAUCACCUGUUUUCUCCAGACUUUCCCCACAUUAUAGUUGAGCCCUACCUGAAGCACAGUGGUUGUACCUGAAGGUCAUCAGUAUCUCUUCAGUUAUUUCUUCUCAUUUAAAUUAGGAUUAACAAAUUGUGCAACAUUUGUUUUGAGCUAUUUCUUGUAUACAAAUAAAAUGUCAUUUGUGAUCAUCUAUAAAUUUUGUUCACAGAAAUUGCUCCCCCCAAUGUUGGGUUUGAAUCUUGUCAGGGGAAAAUUUGUAGCUUUCACCAGAAUUUUUAUUACUACUUCUAGUGUUUUUCUAUUGAAAUUUCUUAGUCCUCCAAGUAUUAAUGCCUUUUAUAUUUUUGAGUAUUUUAUAAAAGCCUUAGAGAUUGAAUUGUCCUCUUAUUUUAUUUCCUUUUGGCCCCAUAAGAGCUAUCCAGAUUAUUAAAUGUUAAUGUGAUAAAUUGUUGUGGUUUACAAUACAUACAUUAUCCCAUAGUAUCAUUAAGAGGAGCCUAUCAUGGUAGAAUUUGUUGUGGGUCCUGUUCUAGUCUGGUGGCUUCCAUGCAUGUCUACCCACCCAUAUAGUGGAUGUACUUUGACACAAUUGUAAUCAUGGGCCAGGUUUGUGGUGGUUGGAAUGUCGCCAGGACUUCGCAGUGUGACCUCUAUAUUGUCGCUGGAUUAGAUUUCUUUCUCGGGGACCAUGCUGACCCAACUAAUUCAAGUCUGGAAACCAUAGCCUUUAAUUGAUGCAAUUAUGUGGUUAUUUAAUUGAAUUUUCUCUUUUAACACUUUGCUAUAUAGAUUUUUUUUUUCUAAAAGUAUUUUGAAACAUAACAAACAAAAAGACACUAUACAAAACAUAAACAAAAAGUUUUUAUUUAUAAUGUUUGGAUUAUCAGUAAGGUUGACCCAAAUAGGUACUGUAAAUAAUGUCAUUAUGAUACCAGACACUUGUUAGAUUAUGACAAUGGAAUUGUGUUAACAUAUAUUUAUGAUCUGUUUAUAGUGGCCUCUCUAGUUGAUUAGCUAGCUAUGCAAAUUUACUUACUUAUUUCUUUGUAAUUGUGUAAAUAAUGUCAUUAUGAUACCAGACACUUGUUAGAUUAUGACAAUGGAAUUGUUAACAUAUAUUUAUGAUGUGUAUAUAGUGGCCUCUCUAGUUGAUUAGCUAGCUAUGCAAAUUUACUUGCUUAUUUCUUUGUAAUUAUGUAAAUAAUUUCACGCUUCAUAUAUGUAAAAUAUUUUUGUUUAAUAAAUUCCAAUAAUGAGAAUGGUGUCUUUAUUUACAUCCUGGCAAUGCAACAUCUACACAGUCAUCUUCCAUUGAAUGGGGAAUAUUUAGAGCUCUUUCCACCUUAUCCCACACCUUGAUGGUUGCCAGCAUUGAUACAACAGUGUUGUGUUUUCUACAAGGGUGGAUCAAUAAUAAAUGAUAAAAGUUUAAUAGAAAAGGAAACAAAUGUAUAUACACUUUUAAAUUUAACUCUGUUGUUAUAUUAGAAAAAAUUCUCAAGAAACCAUCUGGCAACAUUUUUUUCCAAUAAAAAUGGUGACCAAAACAAACAGUUGCACCAAGUAUGAAAUGCGAUCAGUAGUACUUUUUUUUU